CUCUAUCCCACGUAGCUCACUGUAGGUAAGCCUUAGUGAUCCGCUACCAGAGCAUCCAGGCGGUAUCAAAACCUACUCCUCACUGUCAUCCAGCUGGAUUUGGGGGAGAGAGCAGAGCAGAACAAUACUUGGGCCUGUUUAAUAAGGUCAAAAGUCACUGGCCAUGGGGAUUGCUUCAGGGAUGAACUUGUGACCUAAACAAGCCUAAUCAGCAUCCUCUCAAGGAUGUUUCUGCUGGAGCUGACAGGGAAGAUGCUCUGGACAACAUUAGCUGGUGCUGCUUGUGGCCAUCUUUCCCAGCUGCAGUGAAGGAAUGUGUCUGUAACAGGAGAGGAGAUCAACAUGCAAAGAAAAUGUGAGCCAAAAAUGAAGCUGGAAAGAGAAAGAGAUUGGCCUGAAAAUAUUGAUUGUGCCUUUGGACUCAGCUGGGCCAGAGCUUUUCCCAUGGUAUGCUCAUUCUACGAUGUAUCAAUUAGGAAUAUUUAUUGUAUAUAACAGAAAGUCUGACUUACGGAAUAAAGCCAACUUGAGGAAUAAAAAAAGGGGGAGAGGGAGAGAGAGAAAAACAAUUUAUUGGUUUAUGAAACUGAAGAGCCCAGGAGUAGAUUUGUCUUAGGUGUUGCUGGAAACAUGCAACCUGCAUGACAUCACCAUGAUGGAUCUCUUGGAUCUGCUUUCUUCAGGUUAAACAUGAAUCAGAUGAUAAGCUGAGUGACAGAUACUCUGGUUUCCCCCAAAUCCAUGAUCCCUUUUGACAAGAGUUCCAUGGUUCCUGAAUCAAACAUCCAUGCUGGAUUCUCUCUUUAGGAUGAAUGAUUUCCCCACCAGUUCUCACCUCAUGAUCACUUAUACCUGAGUCUCAGUGCAGGACAAUUGGGCCCAAAUUUCACCUCCCCAUCCUGUCCCAAUACAACAAAAUACUUGAUCACUGGUGUGCUGCUCUCAUAAUUUUUUUCAUCUUCUCUAAAUUCUUGUACGAUCUUUCUUUACCACACUUUCAUUUUGGUUCUCCCUUCUCUUCUUAAAAUAAGUUCUUAAACUUCUACACAAUGGUGCAGUCUUUCUUCCUUCCUCCCAAGAUAAUAUAGGUAAGCUGUUUACCAUAGCGCCUGGCACAUGGUAUGCUCGAUAAAUAGCUAUGAUGAUAGCGAUGAUGAUGACAAUGAUGCAGCAUCACGCCCUUAUGUAGGUUUGGGAAGAUUUGACAAUUGUUUUCAACGCUUAACAACCUGAUACAAGAUCUUCUUCAUAUAUCAUCUGUAUUUCUUGCUGCAAAUAAACUAUUUCUAGUAAGUUCUGGGUAUAAGCAAUUACUCAGGAAGAAUGAAAAUUGUUAAAAUUCUCACUGACCUGCUGUCUUAUUUCUUUAAGUUUUGCUACAAUAUUUUCUUUUUCCAGACUCUUUAAACCCUGAGGACAUUCACACAUGUUAAUAUGCAUGGCUGGUUUGGACACAGGAACAAGAUUUAUUUUUAACGUUAAAAAAAGCAUUCCUUCUUUUUCCUUUCCUUUUAAAGUGAUAAUGAGAGUCUCAAAUAUAACUCUGAGAUUCUGGCUCCAAGAGAGUUCAACUAACAAAUUGAACACUGGAGGGAAAAA
This is a long non-coding RNA of Equus caballus (horse), 1599 nucleotides long. The record is from Ensembl. NCBI's taxonomy places the organism in Eukaryota, Metazoa, Chordata, Mammalia, Perissodactyla, Equidae.